GAUGAACGCUGGCGGCGUGCCUAAUACAUGCAAGUCGAGCGAACAGACGAGGAGCUUGCUCCUUUGACGUUAGCGGCGGACGGGUGAGUAACACGUAGGUAACCUACCUAUAAGACUGGGAUAACUUCGGGAAACCGGAGCUAAUACCGGAUAAUAUUUCGAACCGCAUGGUUCGAUAGUGAAAGAUGGCUUUGCUAUCACUUAUAGAUGGACCUGCGCCGUAUUAGCUAGUUGGUAAGGUAACGGCUUACCAAGGCAACGAUACGUAGCCGACCUGAGAGGGUGAUCGGCCACACUGGAACUGAGACACGGUCCAGACUUCUACGGGAGGCAGCAGUAGGGAAUCUUCCGCAAUGGGCGAAAGCCUGACGGAGCAACGCCGCGUGAGUGAUGAAGGUCUUCGGAUCGUAAAACUCUGUUAUUAGGGAAGAACAAACGUGUAAGUAACUGUGCACGUCUUGACGGUACCUAAUCAGAAAGCCACGGCUAACUACGUG
RNAcentral lists this ribosomal RNA (497 nucleotides) under uncultured bacterium. RNAcentral's name for it is "partial 16S ribosomal RNA". It matches the Rfam family "Bacterial small subunit ribosomal RNA", at positions 28 to 507 of the family's 1533-position model. The record is from RNAcentral.